Lynx canadensis (Canada lynx) is the source of this 1675-nucleotide long non-coding RNA. RefSeq lists it as uncharacterized. NCBI's taxonomy places the organism in Eukaryota, Metazoa, Chordata, Mammalia, Carnivora, Felidae. The transcript has 2 exons. The record is from RefSeq and is a predicted model, not a curated record.
AAAGAAAGAAAGAAAGAAACGUUGAAGAAGAAGAAGAAGAAGAAGAAGAAGAAGAAGAAGAAGAAGAAAGAGCUUUGAAAAACAUGCCCUCAACGAAAGAACUUUCUUGACUCCGUGAUGCAAACAGCUUUCAGGCAAUAAUCACCGCGGGCACCACAGUGGUCACUGAGGUUGGGGCCAGCUCGGGAAAGUGACGCCCAUCUCGAGGGGGCGUGGAAGAAGGGCGGACGAUCCUGAGGCGGAGGUGAAGAAACAGACCCCGGGACAGCCUCCCCUGGGGGCAGGUGUGGCAGCGCACGUGUUCAGGGAGGAGGCCAGCCUGCCCAGCCUGCCUGUGACCUUGGCACCCACAGAGGAGACCCCCCCCCAAGCCCAGAAAACCAAGAACCGUUUGGACACUGGCAGUCACUAAACCCAGCUCGUGUCUGCUCCUCCGCUCCCUUGGAGCUUGAAGGAAUGAGCCAGAGGACAACGUAAGCUGGUAGGAAACUUCUAGACCUUAUUGUUUCCACUGUGGACACAUUGUCUUCUCUCCCUCUCCUUCUCUUUCGUUUUAAUGAAGUAUUACCCAGAACACCAACAUACCCAGGAGAUGGAAACAGAGUUGCCCUGAUUGGACAGGAGAGGGGUGUCCUUGGACUUGCCCCAUGCACACCGGGCGAUCUCUGUGUCUUCCUGGCUGGCCCCAGGCUCCUCAGGAUGGACUGAGGGCCAGCAGGUGAGUCCAUCCGGGGUUGUAGGGAUGGGGGAACGGAGGCCCAGAGAGGCUGAGGCACUUGCCCAGAGUCACACAGCCCCAAGGGAUAGAGCCAAGGGCUCCCAGGCCAGCCUGACCCAAAGACCUGCGUUUAGCACCUGCCAUUCAAACGCUCUCCAUCAGCGGAGACGCAGGCUGGCGGGUCGGGGACCAGUGCCCGCAUUCCGUUUCUGAGUCCAUACCUGGUCCAUUUGCAGGGACAGCAGAUUUAGCCAGAGCUCCCCAAGACCUGCUCGGUGGGUUGAGACUUAUGGGGGGGGGGGCUGCGGAACAUACCCAGGAUGCUCCGUCUGUUAAAAUCAUGCCCCAACAGGACAGGAAGGGGCCGGGCAGGCUCCAUGCCUGCACAUGCUCCAAGCGGAAGGAGGGGCUGGGUUCCUUCCAGCCCUCUGGGGUCACCCCUGCAGGAGGCCCGAGCGACAGCGGAUGUCUAUUUUGUGGCUGCGGGUCCACUCGUGGUCACAGAGCAAGGCUCCUUCCAGGCACAUGACACUUCUGCGAGGGUUCCUUGAACCUGGGGUGCCACCGCCAUGGCGGGCUGCCGUCUGCUUUGUCACGGGUUAAAGCAUCUCCGAGCCCUCGUGCUGGGUCGGGGAUCGUCCCCCUGAAUCAUCGCAGCCGGAGGCGCCCGCCAUGACCACCCCAUUUUGCAGACGGGAAACUGAGGACCGUGGAGUCACCUGCCUGGGGUCGCACAGCUAACCGCCAAUGGGCAGGCCUGGGGGGUGCGGGUGUCUCAGGCCCCCAGGGAACCCGCUCCUGAACACUAGGCCUCACUGCCUCCCAGCCUGGGGAUGUGAUCACUUCUCACAGCGACGAGGCUCCGGUAAACCCAACCCCCCCCCCCCACCCCCACCCCGGCUCACCCCGAUCCCGCGUCUUGUCCGCGUACGCGAAAUAAAUAUUUUAUCUCAGCCA